Molecule: non-coding RNA, 20 nt
Filed under: Arabidopsis thaliana (thale cress)
Lineage: Eukaryota; Viridiplantae; Streptophyta; Magnoliopsida; Brassicales; Brassicaceae
Source: RNAcentral
UAUGGGAAUUUGGUGAUAUC